AAUCCAAAAAAAAAUGACUACAUAUGGAUGUGAAGGUCAAAUUAUUGUUUGUUUAUGAUAAUAAAUACAAUAAUCUUUGUGAACCAAACAACCUUUCAACAUCGAGUGAAAUAUUGCAUCACAUUCCUCGCCUCUGAAAACAAAGUCUUCAAAAUUGCCAAGAAGCUCCUCACAAUUGUCGAUACGUCUCCUUUUCGAGUUUGCUGAUUGGCCAUUUAAAAUAUGCAAAUUUGAUCCGAAAAACAAUAAGACAGAUGGACACAGAUGGAGUGAAACAAAAGCGAGGCGGACAGAGAUGAAGCCAUCAAAGUGGAGUUGCCAACGGAUUGCACUUAAAAAUGCCCAAAAGCAGUCGAAAAUAAUUUGUUAAGCUUUAUGGACAGGCGAAAACUUAAUUAAAAACAAUCCUUUUCUGGCGCACCUAAUU
Drosophila melanogaster (fruit fly) is the source of this 427-nucleotide non-coding RNA. Lineage: Eukaryota; Metazoa; Arthropoda; Insecta; Diptera; Drosophilidae. The record is from Ensembl.